This is a long non-coding RNA of Microplitis mediator, 2121 nucleotides long. RefSeq lists it as uncharacterized. The record is from RefSeq and is a predicted model, not a curated record. NCBI's taxonomy places the organism in Eukaryota, Metazoa, Arthropoda, Insecta, Hymenoptera, Braconidae. The transcript is spliced from 4 exons.
UAUUAACAAUCAUUUAUCACCUUAUUAAUCAUAUAUCAAUUUUUUAUCUCUUAUAUAUUUUUUGUUACUGCAAACUUUCAAAUUGUAUUUAAAAUUUGUUACGAAAAAAUGGAAUUUCUGGGUAAACUAUUACAGAUAUGACAAAAAUGUAUAUAGACAAUUUAGUAGCUUAUGAAAUUCUCUAGAAAAAAGUCUGUUGACAUUUUCACGUACGCCUAAUUAUUAUGACGUAAUUUCAAAUUUAAGUAAAAAGUAAAUUUUUAUUUUUAUUAAAAAUAAUCUUGAUCCCUUAUUUAUUUUGUCUGUAACUUUAAAACUAUCAGAGAUACGUUGAUAAGCACAGAAACCUUUUUUGUGGUAAAUUUAAUUUGCCACAAUUUUUAUUUGAAACAUUUUUCUCUAAAAUUCAUUGUUUCGCCACAAACUUAACUUUUGAAUUAAUAAAUUGGUAAUAUGCGAUUACCUUCAUAAAAAAUAUUCUCGUAUUUAUUGGCGCGAAAUAAAUAUUUUUGAAAGUAAAUAAAAUAAAUAAAUAAACUUUAAUAAGCAGCUUUAAACAUCGUAAACUAGUUGGCACAAAAAUGGAAUAUUUUUUAAUAAUUGAUAUAUCGAAAAAUUGCUCUUUCAGAAUCCGUAAUUGCUCCAAUUAAAAAAUUAAUGUUUAAUUAAUUAUGCGUAGUUAAAAAUUCAAAAUUUAAUUCCUAAUUAUCUCAGUAAGUAAAAUGUUUUUCAUCUGUCAAGCAAAAUUUGCUCCGUUGUUUUUCUAUAGAGAAUGAUCGUUUUUUACCUUAUCAUUUUAAUAAUUAAUUAAUUACGAGAAUUAAUUACCAAAGCGUAGGGACAAUUAAAGUAUGACGUCACAAUUGCGAAAUGUCGCCAGUCGUCUACAUGAGUAUAGUAAAUAAAGUCAUAUCAUUAACAUGAGUAUGUGCCCAGGUAAACAAUUUAUUGUGUACUCGUGUACUGUUUAAAAGCAUGGAAUGAACGGCUCUUGACUAGGCAUGCAUUCGUUACACUGCCGUUGCGAUGGAGUUCGUUUUGAAAGCUGUGAAAUUAUUUACCCCAAAAUUUUUUUUAUUCUUUACAUAUUUUACAUUACAUAGCCUUUAGGUUACUUUGCAAGCAAUUUAAAGUCCCUAUUUUCUUUGGACUAUGUUUCCUGACCAUCUUUUCUUUUUUUAUUCCAUAUCUUAUCUAUUAGCUAUCUGUUUCUCAUCUCGUUUUUCCAUGUUUUUGCAAUCACGGAGUGUUUUUAGUGGGCAAGAUUGCAGACAGGUGGCAUUCUGGCGGCUAUAUGGAACGAAUCCCACAGGACAAUGCAUUAUAUCAACUUGUGAAAAAUAAUUCAUUUGCUCUUUGUGGGAUUCGAACCUGAGUCUGGGCAGUACUUGAGUCCGAAGACAAAGUGUUCUCCACUCCACCACAAAUACUGAAUAAAAGCUAUUGCUGUUGCAAUUCCAAAUAUUUACGCUAUGAAGAAGGUGCAAAAUUUUGCUUAUGCGAGAACGAGUACCGGAAAUUGAAGAACUACGUGGGUUACUUAAAAUAUUUGCAAUGUUUGAUUAUGAUCGAUGAUGCCUUUUUUGAUAUACUAAAAUUAAAUUAUAAAUAUACAAAACUAAUUUAUGACCGGGAGUAUACCAAUAUAAAGAUCGCGAUAUUACAAAUUAUUCAAAUUGAAGAUAAACUACUUGAAUACUUACCUUCCAACAAAAUCACAAUUAAUUCAUUGGACCAAAAGAUUAGUAAUAAAGUCCAGUUAUUAAAAAAUGCACAUCCAAUAAUUUUGAAGUUUCAGCGAUAGUCCGUAAAACCAAAAAUACAACUAUAACUAGAGAAGAUAUGGCAACUCAUUUGUACGAUAAUCUAUGGAAUCACGUCGGGAUAAUCAAAACCGAUGUUGUGGAAAAUUAUAAAACAGCACAGGAAAUAACAGCUUCAGAUGGGUUAAAUAUCUAAAAAAAUCUUAUUAAUAUUAGUUUCUUUUUUUUCUUCAAUUAUACACAAAUAUUGGUAAUAAAUUGUGAAAUAAAGUAAUAAAACAAUGUGUACUAAAAAAAUAUUUUUAUUGAAGUAGUGGAUUGUUAAUUAUAAUUAUUAAUAAAACAUACGUAUUUACAC